GGUUAAGCGACUAAGCGUACACGGUGGAUGCCCUGGCAGUCAGAGGCGAUGAAGGACGUGCUAAUCUGCGAAAAGCGCCGGCGAGGUGAUAUGAACCUUUGACCCGGCGAUGUCCGAAUGGGGAAACCCAGUGUGAUUCGUCACACUAUCGUUAACUGAAUACAUAGGUUAACGAGGCGAACCGGGGGAACUGAAACAUCUAAGUACCCCGAGGAAAAGAAAUCAACCGAGAUUCCCCCAGUAGCGGCGAGCGAACGGGGAGCAGCCCAGAGUCUGAAUCAGCUUGUGUGUUAGUGGAAGCGUCUGGAAAGUCGCACGGUACAGGGUGACAGUCCCGUACACGAAAAUGCACAGGUUGUGAACUCGAAGAGUAGGGCGGGACACGUGGUAUCCUGUCUGAAUAUGGGGGGACCAUCCUCCAAGGCUAAAUACUCCUGACUGACCGAUAGUGAACCAGUACCGUGAGGGAAAGGCGAAAAGAACCCCGGCGAGGGGAGUGAAAAAGAACCUGAAACCGUGUACGUACAAGCAGUGGGAGCACCUUCGGGUGUGACUGCGUACCUUUUGUAUAAUGGGUCAGCGACUUAUAUUCUGUAGCAAGGUUAACCGUAUAGGGGAGCCGAAGGGAAACCGAGUCUUAACUGGGCGUUAAGUUGCAGGGUAUAGACCCGAAACCCGGUGAUCUAGCCAUGGGCAGGUUGAAGGUUGGGUAACACUAACUGGAGGACCGAACCGACUAAUGUUGAAAAAUUAGCGGAUGACUUGUGGCUGGGGGUGAAAGGCCAAUCAAACCGGGAGAUAGCUGGUUCUCCCCGAAAGCUAUUUAGGUAGCGCCUCGUGAACUCAUCUUCGGGGGUAGAGCACUGUUUCGGCUAGGGGGCCAUCCCGGCUUACCAACCCGAUGCAAACUACGAAUACCGAAGAAUGUUAUCACGGGAGACACACGGCGGGUGCUAACGUCCGUCGUGAAGAGGGAAACAACCCAGACCGCCAGCUAAGGUCCCAAAGUCAUGGUUAAGUGGGAAACGAUGUGGGAAGGCACAGACAGCCAGGAUGUUGGCUUAGAAGCAGCCAUCAUUUAAAGAAAGCGUAAUAGCUCACUGGUCGAGUCGGCCUGCGCGGAAGAUGUAACGGGGCUAAACCAUGCACCGAAGCUGCGGCAGCGACACUAUGUGUUGUUGGGUAGGGGAGCGUUCUGUAAGCCGUUGAAGGUGUGCUGUGAGGCAUGCUGGAGGUAUCAGAAGUGCGAAUGCUGACAUAAGUAACGAUAAAGCGGGUGAAAAGCCCGCUCGCCGGAAGACCAAGGGUUCCUGUCCAACGUUAAUCGGGGCAGGGUGAGUCGACCCCUAAGGCGAGGCCGAAAGGCGUAGUCGAUGGGAAACAGGUUAAUAUUCCUGUACUUGGUGUUACUGCGAAGGGGGGACGGAGAAGGCUAUGUUAGCCGGGCGACGGUUGUCCCGGUUUAAGCAUGUAGGCGGAACGAUUAGGUAAAUCCGGUCGUUUAUUAACGCUGAGGUGUGAUGACGAGGCACUACGGUGCUGAAGUAACAAAUGCCCUGCUUCCAGGAAAAGCCUCUAAGCAUCAGGUAACAUUAAAUCGUACCCCAAACCGACACAGGUGGUCAGGUAGAGAAUACCAAGGCGCUUGAGAGAACUCGGGUGAAGGAACUAGGCAAAAUGGUGCCGUAACUUCGGGAGAAGGCACGCUGAUAUGUAGGUGAAGCCCCUGCGGGUGGAGCUGAAAUCAGUCGAAGAUACCAGCUGGCUGCAACUGUUUAUUAAAAACACAGCACUGUGCAAACACGAAAGUGGACGUAUACGGUGUGACGCCUGCCCGGUGCCGGAAGGUUAAUUGAUGGGGUUAGCGGCAACGCGAAGCUCUUGAUCGAAGCCCCGGUAAACGGCGGCCGUAACUAUAACGGUCCUAAGGUAGCGAAAUUCCUUGUCGGGUAAGUUCCGACCUGCACGAAUGGCGUAAUGAUGGCCAGGCUGUCUCCACCCGAGACUCAGUGAAAUUGAACUCGCUGUGAAGAUGCAGUGUACCCGCGGCAAGACGGAAAGACCCCGUGAACCUUUACUAUAGCUUGACACUGAACACUGGUCCUUGAUGUGUAGGAUAGGUGGGAGGCUUUGAAGUGUGGACGCCAGUCUGCAUGGAGCCGUCCUUGAAAUACCACCCUUUAAUGGCUGGUGUUCUAACGUAGACCCGUGAUCCGGGUUGCGGACAGUGUCUGGUGGGUAGUUUGACUGGGGCGGUCUCCUCCCAAAGAGUAACGGAGGAGCACGAAGGUUAGCUAAUCCUGGUCGGACAUCAGGAGGUUAGUGCAAUGGCAUAAGCUAGCUUGACUGCGAGAGUGACGGCUCGAGCAGGUGCGAAAGCAGGUCAUAGUGAUCCGGUGGUUCUGAAUGGAAGGGCCAUCGCUCAACGGAUAAAAGGUACUCCGGGGAUAACAGGCUGAUACCGCCCAAGAGUUCAUAUCGACGGCGGUGUUUGGCACCUCGAUGUCGGCUCAUCACAUCCUGGGGCUGAAGUAGGUCCCAAGGGUAUGGCUGUUCGCCAUUUAAAGUGGUACGCGAGCUGGGUUUAGAACGUCGUGAGACAGUUCGGUCCCUAUCUGCCGUGGGCGCUGGAGAAUUGAGGGGGGCUGCUCCUAGUACGAGAGGACCGGAGUGGACGCAUCACUGGUGUUCGGGUUGUCAUGCCAAUGGCACUGCCCGGUAGCUAAAUGCGGAAAAGAUAAGUGCUGAAAGCAUCUAAGCACGAAACUUGCCCCGAGAUGAGUUCUCCCUGAGACUUUAAGUCUCCUGAAGGAACGUUGAAGACGACGACGUUGAUAGGUCGGGUGUGUAAGCGCAGCGAUGCGUUGAGCUAACCGAUACUAAUGAACCGUGAGGCUUAACCUU
This 2904-nucleotide ribosomal RNA is filed under the name Enterobacter roggenkampii. RNAcentral describes it as "23S ribosomal RNA". It matches the Rfam family "Bacterial large subunit ribosomal RNA". Lineage: Bacteria; Pseudomonadati; Pseudomonadota; Gammaproteobacteria; Enterobacterales; Enterobacteriaceae. The record is from RNAcentral.